This 471-nucleotide ribosomal RNA is filed under the name uncultured bacterium. Its description in RNAcentral is "SSU rRNA". It matches the Rfam family "Bacterial small subunit ribosomal RNA", at positions 26 to 523 of the family's 1533-position model. The record is from RNAcentral.
AGAAUCAACGCUGGCGGCGCGCUUAACACAUGCAAGUCGAACGAGAAAGUGGAGCAAUCCAUGAGUACAGUGGCGUACGGGUGAGUAACACGUGGAUCAUCUACCUCUUGGUGGGGAAUAACCCUGGGAAACCGGGGCUAAUACCGCAUAACCCUGAGAAGGCAAAGCUGGAUAAAACCGGUGCCGGGAGAGGAGUCCGCGGCCGAUUAGCUAGUUGGUAGGGUAAUGGCCUACCAAGGCAAUGAUCGGUAGCCGGCCUGAGAGGGCACACGGCCACACUGGCACUGAAACACGGGCCAGACUCCUACGGGAGGCAGCAGUGGGGAAUCUUGCACAAUGGGGGCAACCCUGAUGCAGCGACGCCGCGUGAGCGAUGAAGCCCUUCGGGGUGUAAAGCUCUUUCGGCAGGGACGAUAAUGGCGGUACCUGAAGAAGAAGCUGCGGCUAACUACGCGCCAGCAGCCGCGGUAA